Molecule: ribosomal RNA, 465 nt
Filed under: uncultured bacterium
Lineage: Bacteria
Description: bacterial SSU rRNA
Rfam family: Bacterial small subunit ribosomal RNA
Source: RNAcentral
CCUACGGGUGGCAGCAGUAGGGAAUCUUCCGCAAUGGACGAAAGUCUGACGGAGCAACGCCGCGUGAGCGAAGAAGGUCUUCGGAUCGUAAAGCUCUGUUGUUAGGGAAGAACAAGUACGGGAGGAAAUGACCGUACCUUGACGGUACCUAACGAGGAAGCCACGGCUAACUACGUGCCAGCAGCCGCGGUAAUACGUAGGUGGCAAGCGUUGUCCGGAAUUAUUGGGCGUAAAGAGCGCGCAGGCGGUCUUUUAAGUCUGAGGUGAAAUCUUGCGGCUCAACCGUAAGAGGUCAUUGGAACCUGGGAGAGUAGAGUGCAGAAUAGGAAAGCGGAAUCCCACGUGUAGCGGUGAAAUGCGUAGGGAUGUGGAGGACCGCCAGUGGCGAAGGAGGCUUUAUGGUAUGUAACUGACGCUGAGGCGCGAAAGCGUGGGGAGCAAACAGGAUUAGCUACCGCUGUAGGC